RNAcentral lists this ribosomal RNA (254 nucleotides) under uncultured bacterium. RNAcentral describes it as "partial 16S ribosomal RNA". It matches the Rfam family "Bacterial small subunit ribosomal RNA", at positions 524 to 776 of the family's 1533-position model. The record is from RNAcentral.
UACGUAGGGGCCUAGCGUUGUCCGGAUUUAUUGGGCGUAAAGAGCUCGUAGGCGGUUCGGCAAGUCGGAUGUGAAAUCUCCACGCUCAACGUGGAGGGGCCAUUCGAAACUGCCGUGACUCGAGUCCGGUAGGGGAGUGUGGAAUUUACGGUGUAGCAGUGAAAUGCGUAGAUAUCGUAAGGAAGACCAGUGGCGAAGGCGAAUCUCUGGACAGUUACUGACACUGAGGCACGAAGGCCAGGGGAGCAAACGGG